UUCUUAUUUGAUAUACUGUAUGCAUGUAUGAAAAAUCUAUAAAACCUGAUGUGCCCAGUCAAGGAAUUGGUAUGGUGAGUGUCACCAUAAUAUUAACAAUAAAUACUUAUAUUAAACCAUAAUUAAUACAAAAUUUUUUAAAGGGACUUGACCUUAACUACUGAUUAUGUUAUUAAGAGCUGUUUUGGACCUGCAAAGGCAUAUUCUCUGGUCACUUCUGUAUCAGCCACAUCUCAGCCCAUGUCUGAAGAUGUCCUGGUCAAUAAAAAACAGAAACAGGGAAAUACAGAGAAAAAUGAGAAUGUUUAUCACCUGUACUCCACAAUCCCUGACAAACCAGUUCACUCAAACACAGAAGAUCACAUGUACAGUUUGGUGAACAUGCACUGAUGAAUCUCAUGUCUGUGUUUAUUAUGUACAACCACUAUACUGUAAAUAAAAAAUCUUCACUUGCAGAUGAAUAAGUGUCCUAUUUUCAUUAUUCAGUGCAUGGUGCGGAAUAUAGCAACUUCAGUCUGUGGCAAGGCCCACUCCAAUACCAAGAACAGCUAAUUGAGCAUUCAAUAAAGGCUGAACUUUCUGAAGUAAUCGUAAACCUUUUGAACUAGAAUUUUUUUUUCUCCUUACUGUUCUGUAUUACUCAAGGUAUAUAUAUAUUUAGUCUAUUAGUUUUUCAUAGUCCAUCAUGUGUCUAUAGCUUCUAGUGCCACAAAACCCAGUCAAUUACAUCAGAGAUGAAAGAGAAUAGUGACUCGCAUCCUGUUUUAGUGAAUCAUUCAUUCCAGUGUGUUUUUGUUUGAAACACAAACUGAAUCGCAGGUCAAAGCAUCCAUUAAAUACUCUUUAUUAAAAAAAAAAAAAAAAAAAAAAAAGGUUCUUUAUU
Molecule: long non-coding RNA, 883 nt
Organism: Cyprinus carpio (common carp)
Lineage: Eukaryota; Metazoa; Chordata; Actinopteri; Cypriniformes; Cyprinidae
Exons: 3
Source: RefSeq, a predicted model, not a curated record